GUAGGUGGCAAGCGUUGUCCGGAAUUAUUGGGCGUAAAGCGCGCGCAGGUGGUUCUUUAGGUCUGAUGUGAAAGCCCCCGGCUCAACCGGGGAGGGUCAUUGGAAACUGGGGAACUUGAGUGCAGGAGAGGGAAGUGGAAUUCCACGUGUAGCGGUGAAAUGCGUAGAUAUGUGGAGGAACACCAGUGGCGAAGGCGACUUUCUGGCCUGUAACUGACACUGAGGCGCGAAAGCGUGGGGAGCAAACAGGGAUUAGAUACCCUGGUAGUCCACGCCGUAAACGAUGAGUGCUAAGUGUUGGGGGGGUUUCCCGCCCCUCAGUGCUGCAGCUAACGCAUUAAGCACUCCGCCUGGGGAGUACGGUCGCAAGACUG
Molecule: ribosomal RNA, 374 nt
Filed under: uncultured organism
Description: partial 16S ribosomal RNA
Rfam family: Bacterial small subunit ribosomal RNA
Source: RNAcentral